RNAcentral lists this ribosomal RNA (263 nucleotides) under uncultured archaeon. RNAcentral's name for it is "partial 16S ribosomal RNA". It matches the Rfam family "Archaeal small subunit ribosomal RNA", at positions 747 to 1009 of the family's 1478-position model. The record is from RNAcentral.
CACGCCGUAAACUAUGCGCGUUAGGUGUAUCGGUGACCACGAGUUACCGAGGUGCCGAAGGGAAACCGUGAAACGUGCCGCCUGGGAAGUACGGUCGCAAGGCUGAAACUUAAAGGAAUUGGCGGGGGAGGCACCACAACAGGUGGAGCCUGCGGUUUAAUUGGACUCAACGCCGGGAAGCUCACCGGACAGGACAGCAGAAUGAUUGCCGGGCUGAAGACUCUGCAUGACUAGCUGAGAGGAGGUGCAUGGCGUAGACGUCU